RNAcentral lists this ribosomal RNA (658 nucleotides) under uncultured Candidatus Saccharibacteria bacterium. Its description in RNAcentral is "partial 16S ribosomal RNA". The record is from RNAcentral. Lineage: Bacteria; Candidatus Saccharimonadota.
UACCUUGUUACGACUUAACCCCAAUCAUCCCCCCACCUUAGGCCGACGAAUCGGACUUCGGGUGUUGGUGACUUUCAUGGUUUGACGGGCGGUGUGUACAAGACCCGGGAACGUAUUCACCGCAGUUUGCUGACCUGCGAUUACUAGCGAUUCCGACUUCAAAGAGGCGAGUUUCAGCCUCUUAUCCGAACUGAGAUUAGCUUUGAUGCGAUUUGCUCCACCUCGCGGCUUCGCUGCGCAUUGUACUAACCAUUGUAUCGUGUUUCUAGCCCAGGGUGUAAGGGAAAUACUGACCUGACAUCAUCCCCUCCUUCCUCCCCGUUACCGGGGCAGUCUGAUUAGAAAAAUACAACUAAUCACAAGGGUUGCGCUCGUUGAUGGACUUAACCAAACAUCUCACGACACGAGCUGAGAACGGCCACGCAUCACCUGUCACUUGGCUCAAUAAAGCACUCUCUGCUUUCCCAGAAAUUCCAAGGAUGUCAAACCCUGGUAAGGUUCUUCGUUUAUCAUCGAAUUAAGUUACACGAUCCACCGCUUGUGCGGGUUCCCGCAAUUCCUUUAUGUUUUAUUCUUGCGACCGUACUCCCCAGGCGGGAUACUUAACGCGUUAGCCUUCCUUACUGAAUGGGCCGAUCCUUCAACAGCUAGUAUCCUU